AACGAACGCUGGCGGCAUGCCUAACACAUGCAAGUCGAACGAGACCUUCGGGUCUAGUUGCGCACGUGUGCGUAACGCGGGGGAACCUGCCCUUAGGUUCGGAAUAACUCCCCGAAAGGGGUGCUAAUACCGGAUAAUGUCUUCGGACCAAAGAUUUAUCGCCUUUGGAUGGGCCCGCGUUGGAUUAGCUAGUUGGUAGGGUAAAAGCCUACCAAGGCGACGAUCCAUAGCUGGUCUGAGAGGAUGAUCAGCCACACUGGGACUGAGACACGGCCCAGACUCCUACGGGAGGGAGCAGUGGGGAAUAUUGGACAAGGGGCGAAAGCCUGAUCAAGCAAUGCGGCGUGAGUGAUGAAGGCGUUAGGGUUGUAAAGCUCUUUUACACGGGAUGAUAAUGACAGUACCGGGAGAAUAAGCUCCGGCUAACUCCGUG
Molecule: ribosomal RNA, 433 nt
Filed under: uncultured bacterium
Lineage: Bacteria
Description: partial 16S ribosomal RNA
Rfam family: Bacterial small subunit ribosomal RNA
Source: RNAcentral